Molecule: unclassified non-coding RNA, 406 nt
Filed under: uncultured Rhizophagus
Lineage: Eukaryota; Fungi; Glomeromycota; Glomeromycetes; Glomerales; Glomeraceae
Description: sequence contains 28S rRNA gene
Source: RNAcentral
AGUUAAACAGUACGUGAAAUUGUUGAAAGGGAAACGAUUAAAGUCAGUCGUACCUACGAGUAAUCAACCUACUCGAGUGCGAUUUUGUGGGUAUGUUAGAGCUUAAAAACCUUCAUGCUUACAAAUUGGUGCUCUUUGGGCGUACUUUCUCGUAUGGUAGGUUAACAUCAAUUUCGAUCGUUAUAAAAUGACUGGAGGAAUGUAGCUUCGAUCUCGGUUGAAGUGUUAUAGCCUUUGGUAGAUGUAAUGAUUGGGAUUGAGGAUUGCAACGGAUACCCUCUGGGCUAUUCGUCUGAUCUCUGGAAGUUACCUUGGUGUCGAAAGCGUGCUUACGAUAUUAAGGUUGACGGCCAAUAGGUUAGAACGUGAUUAAAUUCGUUAAGGAUGUUGACGUAAUGGCUUUAAA